This 517-nucleotide ribosomal RNA is filed under the name Bifidobacterium pseudocatenulatum. RNAcentral's name for it is "bacterial SSU rRNA". It matches the Rfam family "Bacterial small subunit ribosomal RNA", at positions 150 to 679 of the family's 1533-position model. The record is from RNAcentral. Lineage: Bacteria; Bacillati; Actinomycetota; Actinomycetes; Bifidobacteriales; Bifidobacteriaceae.
CUGGAAACGGGUGGUAAUGCCGGAUGCUCCGACUCCUCGCAUGGGGUGUCGGGAAAGAUUUCAUCGGUAUGGGAUGGGGUCGCGUCCUAUCAGGUAGUCGGCGGGGUAACGGCCCACCGAGCCUACGACGGGUAGCCGGCCUGAGAGGGCGACCGGCCACAUUGGGACUGAGAUACGGCCCAGACUCCUACGGGAGGCAGCAGUGGGGAAUAUUGCACAAUGGGCGCAAGCCUGAUGCAGCGACGCCGCGUGCGGGAUGACGGCCUUCGGGUUGUAAACCGCUUUUGAUCGGGAGCAAGCCUUCGGGUGAGUGUACCUUUCGAAUAAGCACCGGCUAACUACGUGCCAGCAGCCGCGGUAAUACGUAGGGUGCAAGCGUUAUCCGGAAUUAUUGGGCGUAAAGGGCUCGUAGGCGGUUCGUCGCGUCCGGUGUGAAAGUCCAUCGCUUAACGGUGGAUCUGCGCCGGGUACGGGCGGGCUGGAGUGCGGUAGGGGAGACUGGAAUUCCCGGUGUAAC